ACGAACGCUGGCGGCAUGCCUAACACAUGCAAGUCGAACGAGACCUUCGAGUCUAGUGGCGCACGGGUGCGUAACGCGUGGGAACCUGCCCUUAGGUUCGGAAUAACUCCCCGAAAGGGGUGCUAAUACCGGAUAAUGUCUUCGGACCAAAGAUUUAUCGCCUUUGGAUGGGCCCGCGUUGGAUUAGCUAGUUGGUAGGGUAAAAGCCUACCAAGGCGACGAUCCAUAGCUGGUCUGAGAGGAUGAUCAGCCACACUGGGACUGAGACACGGCCCAGACUCCUACGGGAGGCAGCAGUGGGGAAUAUUGGACAAUGGGCGAAAGCCUGAUCCAGCAAUGCCGCGUGAGUGAUGAAGGCCUUAGGGUUGUAAAGCUCUUAUACCCGGGAUGAUAAUGACAGUACCGGGAGAAUAAGCUCCGGCUAACUCCGUG
RNAcentral lists this ribosomal RNA (432 nucleotides) under uncultured bacterium. RNAcentral's name for it is "partial 16S ribosomal RNA". It matches the Rfam family "Bacterial small subunit ribosomal RNA", at positions 29 to 507 of the family's 1533-position model. The record is from RNAcentral.